Molecule: long non-coding RNA, 1608 nt
Organism: Dromaius novaehollandiae (emu)
Lineage: Eukaryota; Metazoa; Chordata; Aves; Casuariiformes; Dromaiidae
Exons: 4
Source: RefSeq, a predicted model, not a curated record
UGCCUACUGCUCUGUGAACUUGAUCUAUGAAUAGGAUUUGUUUAAAUAUUUUUUUCAUUAUUAUUUAUUUUUUAAAGACAAAUUAUGGUAACAUGGGCUGCAUUGGAAUUCACACUGUAUCUACACCAGCAAACUGCAGUAUGUAUGUCCUAACAUCUCUCCCUCCAGAGAAGGUCAAGACUAAAGUCUAAAGCCAAAUCACAUCCGUGGGACCCAGUGCCAUACAAAAUGGACUGCAACCCCACUUGGGAGUGUCUGCCCUAAACUCUUUCGAGGACAACUACGCAAAACAGGUGGAACUCCCUAUCUUCAAGUACUGCAAAGUAAUACAAGUGGACAAGAGUCUGGAUUAAGGCUGCAGAAGUAAUCUCAAUUCUUAAUUUUAUAACGAAAAGAGCCUCUCCUACAAUGGUAACCCAGGAACCAGAGGAAGGAAAACAGCAUUAGAGGCUUGCAACUCGCCAUUAUUGUCUGAUCAGGGCAUUCCUUGAGAAGCACAUUCAGAGAAAACUACAUGGCAACCCAGAAGAGCACACUGACACUAUAUUCUCAUCUGCUUUGGUAAUUCUGUAUUUCAUUUAUUUUGGACCCUCUUCACAUCCAUGCCCAAAGACAGUAACUUAUGAGUAAAAAGAUGUGGUGGCUUAACCUUCAAGAUUCUUUAUCUUUGAACAUUGAUUCAGAGUCACUGCCUCAUUCUGUACCCACUGCAAAAUAGGCUCUUAGACUACAUUCUUCCCCAACUGGCCUAGUCUGCUGCUAUUAGUCAAAUACGUAAAUCCCUCAUGGCUAAAAGGAAGACACGUAAAAUUCAUGGGGGACUUGAAUUGAUGAGAUACACUGGACCUUAAUCAAAAUUGGGCUGUUUGUAUCACUGGUUUGUAAGCUUUAAGAGCAAGGAGCUAUGUUGUAGGUGUACCUGUCUCCAGCUCUGUCACAGCCAUACCCAUGCCUGACCAUGGAUCCCAUUGGUCUGUGGACUAGCUUCCCGGCUUGACCUUGGACCUGUCUCAUCACUAUGGACCCACCUGACAAUCACUGGACUGUGUCUGACCCUGGUUACCUUCACUGGACCUGCUCCUGACCUAAGGAUUGACUUUCUAGGUUGAUCUCAGACCCGCCUCAUCACCAAACACUUGUCUGGCAAUCUGGACUUUUGGUUGACCCUGGUUACUAUCCCUGGGCCUGCCCUGCUCACCUUGCUUUGGUACUGUGGGACUGGGCCUUGGCUGGUGAGGCCCCUGCCCUGCUGGCCAUGUUAUUGUGCUUAGCUCCCUGUCCCUUAGGGAGCAGCCAGCCCUUGCUGCUCCCUGACAGAUUGACAAAAAUCUAAGGGUGAAAAAAAGAAUCUCUUGCAUAUGUAUGAUGAGUCUUCUUUCUCAGAUGUUCUGUACCUAAGAGUUCUUCAUUAUUUACUAACAAGAAACAGAAAAUGAGAGGAAGUUAUCUUCAUCCAUUUCUCUUGACCAUAAAGCCAAAAACAGGUGCAGUGUUAGAGUAAUUGCAUACCCUUGCUCCUUUUCUAGCUAACUCCUUUUGCACAGUCUUCAACUAGCAAGCCAUUAGAGAAAUGUGCGUGGAGAGGAACUUUCAUUAUCUCAGGUAUCA